GGAAAAGAACCCACCAGGGAUUGCCCCAGUAACGGCGAGUGAAGCGGCAACAGCUCAGAUUUGAAAUCUGGCCCUUUUCUGGGUCCGAGUUGUAAUCUGUAGAGGAUGCUUUUGGCGACGCGCCUUCCGAGUCCCCUGGAACGGGGCGCCAGAGAGGGUGAGAGCCCCGUAUGGUCGGACGCCGAGCCUUUGUAAAGCUCCUUCGACGAGUCGAGUAGUUUGGGAAUGCUGCUCAAAAUGGGAGGUAAAUUUCUUCUAAAGCUAAAUACCGGCCAGAGACCGAUAGCGCACAAGUAGAGUGAUCGAAAGAUGAAAAGCACUUUGAAAAGAGGGUUAAAUAGCACGUGAAAUUGCUGAAAGGGAAGCGCUUGUGACCAGACUUGUGCCCGGUUGAUCAUCCAGCGUUCUCGCUGGUGCACUCUGCCGGGCUCAGGCCAGCAUCGGCUCUCCCAGGGGGAUAAAGGUCGCGGGAACGUAGCUCUCUCCGGGGAGUGUUAUAGCCCGCGGCGGAAUACCCUUAGGGGGGGUCGAGGCCCGCGUUCGCAAGGAUGCUGGCGUAAUGGUCACCAGCGACCCGUCUUGAAACACGGACCAAGGAGUCAAGCAUUAGGGCGAGUCUUUGGGUGUAAAACCCGCAGGCGCAAUGAAAGUGAACGGAGGUGAGAGCUUCGGCGCAUCAUCGACCGAUCCUGAUGUUCUCGGAUGGAUUUGAGUAAGAGCCUUACCGCUUGGACCCGAAAGAUGGUGAACUAUGCCUGAAUAGGGUGAAGCCAGAGGAAACUCUGGUGGAGGCUCGCAGCGGUUCUGACGUGCAAAUCGAUCGUCAAAUUUGGGCAUGGGGGCGAAAGACUAAUCGAGC
RNAcentral lists this ribosomal RNA (859 nucleotides) under Distoseptispora sp. RX-2021b. Its description in RNAcentral is "partial large subunit ribosomal RNA". It matches the Rfam family "Eukaryotic large subunit ribosomal RNA", at positions 55 to 940 of the family's 3401-position model. Lineage: Eukaryota; Fungi; Ascomycota; Sordariomycetes; Distoseptisporaceae. The record is from RNAcentral.